This 5300-nucleotide long non-coding RNA is filed under the name Sus scrofa (pig). Its description in RNAcentral is "lncRNA (ENSSSCG00040033702.1)". The record is from RNAcentral. Lineage: Eukaryota; Metazoa; Chordata; Mammalia; Artiodactyla; Suidae.
UCACAGCAUUUGGAAGUUCCCAGCCUAGGGGUCGAAUCAGAGCUGCAGCUGCUGGCCACAGCCAUAGCAACACCAGAUCUGAGCUGCAUCGGCAACAUACACCACGGCUCACGUCAACACCAGAUCCUUAACCCUCUGAGCAGGGCCAGGGAUAGAACCCAUGUUUUCAUGGAUGCCAGUCAGGUUCAUUACUGCUGAGCCACAACGGGAACUCCCAGAGCUAUUAUUUUAAGAGUAUCUGUUGCUACUUGCCUUUGGAAGAGAUGAAUAAUUGAAGAUAAAAUUCUUAUACUUUACCCCAAAACUUCCUUAAUUUGCCAGAUACUCCAUCUUCAAGACAAAAUCCUUACUUAAGCAAGCCAAGUAAAAUUCAUUACUCUGAAAAGUAGUGGGAUAACUAUUUUGAACUUUUUUUAAAAAUAAUAAACUUUGUUUUAAAGGAUCUAAACAGAGUAACAAAGUAUUUUCCUGGAUGCUGGGUGCACAAAAUAAAAAACUUUACCAGCUCAGAUAUUUUCACUGUUUUCUUUUUUACACCAGGAAGUAAACAGAAAAUAGACACUUUAAAUUUAAAUAUAUUGUGUACUAUUUUAUGUCGAGGACAAAAAUGCUUCAUCUUAGUGACAGUUACUAUACGUGCUACACUUCUAUGGCAUAAGGACAGAAUUUAUAGUGGUUUUGUUAGAUAAUAAAAUCCUGAUAAACAAGAGAAGAAAUGCAAUUUAUGAAACAGUAACAUCCAUUACUAACCACUUUGGACCUUCUCAAGAUUUCACUGGUCAAUGGAAAGGAAAAUUGUUAUACACUCACGAGCAAGUAAUUUUGCUUACUGGGUCUCAAGAACACACACAUAAUAAAGUAUUUUACUCAUUAGUUUUAUUUAUCUGUAAACUCUUACUAGUUUUAUUUAUCUAUAAAUUCUUUGUAGGCAAAGACUUUGGUAUCAUAACAUCCAUUCACCUAUGAUAGGUGGCCAGAAAAGUAAUGUUCAGAAUGCAAGAUGACAAAGGUUCUCUCCAGUCUUUUCAAUCUUCAAGUUGAAAUUUUUUAAGUCCAAUCUCUGAGUAAGUCCAUAAAAUGCAGUAGAACAAAUAACAGGGUGAGAGGCCCAUAAAAGUGUGGUAGAAUGAAUUGAAGACCAUAAGAGAAAGAAAUGAUUUGCACAGUUGAAGAUUAGUAGAACUAUCUGCUUUUAUCUUUUUUGUUUCCAGAGGAUUCCAAAGACAUAAAUUAAGAUAUGAGAAGAUAAAUUAGAUCAGUUACACUUUAAAAUUGUUUUUUGAUAAAUAUAAGCAGUUCCAAGCUUCGAUUACCUACUUUAUUAAAGCACUGCUUCCAUUACACUUUACCAAAACUCUACUAAAAACUCUAGUUCUAAACCUGGUAGAAGAGUCAACAGAUAGUUUCUCUUUCAGAAAUUUUUUCUUCUGUUUCUUCUAGUUAAAACCUUCAUAGACUGUCUAAUCACGAUUUGACAUAAUCAUAAAAUCAAAACUUCCUUAAUUUCUAUUAAAAAAUGUUUACACUCUUUAGAUAAAAAAAACUAAUACUUAGAAAUUCACACCUGGACAAUCUCCCUUAAGAUAUCCAAAUACAGAAAAAAAAAAUCUGAGGGCCACAAAAUGUCUAUCAUAGAAUAACUUACAAUAGCAAAUUGCUAGAAACAAUCAAAAAUUAUUAAAAUAAGGAUGAUUACAUAAAUUAUGGCAUACCAAAUUGAUCUUCUAUUUUGAAGCUAUUCAAAAUGAUGGACAUAAAACCCAAGUGGUGACAUGGAAAUGAUUUGUUUGAAAAAAAAAAUUGGAAAAUAGGCUGGAAGGCAGUAUGCUAUCCUCUGAAAAAGCAACAGUUUGAACCAAACAAUGCAAGAACACAAAAACAAAACUGCUCAUAAGACAGAAAAAUUAAAGAUGCAUUUUUAACUAAGACAGGUGAGUUAUCCUCAAAGUAUUGUCUUCCCAAUCUUAGAUCUGUUAUCACUGAAUACUUAAGAAAAAAACUCUUGUAUAAAAAUACAAAUAAAGUUAUUCAAAGUUUUUAAAACCUUGUUUUAUUACACUUGGAAUCUUGUCACUGAGUUAAAUGCAAAAAAUUUGACGUUAAAUGGUUACACAAAACUAUACUUACUCUUUAUUUAUGAAUAUCAGCCAAAAUAGAUCUUUUAAAAAACACAUUCCACUGCUACAUCAGGUUGAAAAGAAUCCAGAGUGAAAACAAAGAAUUGUGUCAGACUCAGUAGCUUUAGCAAUAGAAGCACAAAAAUGAGUCUCGAAAAAUAUAUAUAUAAUAAUUUUAAUUGUGCCAUUUAAAGAUUUUAUCUUAUUUUCACUUUUUUUUUUUUAGGGCCACACCCAUGGCAAAGGGAGGUUCCCAGGCUAGGGCCCUAAAAAGCAAAAAAAAAAAAAAAGUUUUCAACUCCUAAAUUUUCUCUAACAGUAUUUCACAUAAGCAUGUAUGACUAUGUUCCGUAUUAUUCCAUGAAAGCUGUAAACGCAAAAUAUUUCUGAGGCAGAAACCAAUCCGCAAGAGUUACCUAUUAAAGGCCGAUCAUGGUGAGUUAAGAAGGCAAUCAAUUUUUUAAAGUCUCUCUCAAUCAAAAGACACUAAGUUUCCUACUACUGGGUACAUCCCACUUGUUUUUAAAAUUUUCUAUUAGUUUCAAAGAAUACCACACACUCACACACACAAACACCCCAUUAUCUAAUUCAUAUUCAUAUCUAAUUCAUAACUUUCAAUUCUAAUUCAGAGUUUUAAGCACAGAAAGGGAUUUUAAGCAUUAAAAUCAAAAGAACUCCAUUUUUUAUAGACUGCCAUCUCUGUUUUAUAAAAUAAGGGAUUUUAAGUUUAAAUUAUAAUUAUAUUCAGGAGCCCCAUACUCACCCUUUCCAAACAUAGCUCUUUUUAUAAUAAUGUCUGACAAUCCUCUGGAUAACAAAAAUUCCAAGUGUCAUCAAAAUUAAAGGCUAGAACUAUUUCCUGGGAAAUGUAAUUCAAGGUAAACAACCUCUCCCUUACUUGAGACUGUUCUAUUCACGCAAAACUCUGUGGCUUGAAAAAAUGAUGAAAUAUAAUACUUUUCUCUUCUGGGUGGUUUUUUACAAUUUAGAUGAAGCUGAUAGCCAAAGAAAGCAUACAAAGAAUGUGAAAAGAAUGUGUAGGCUUGGUCGUUCAUCUUCCUAAAAGACAGAUGCUGACCAGUAGGGCUGCCAGCUACUAAACAGUACGUUUCUCAUUCCUGCAAACACACCCCUACUCCCACACGCCCAUAAAAUAGAAUCACAACCCUAUUCCCCACUUGGAGAAUGUGAACUUAAUUCAAUGAUUUUUAAUUUGUCUACUAUGUGCUAGGCACCAACAGAAUAAAGCAUGACUAGGCAACACUACUUGCCCCCAGAGGAGCUUCACACUCAUCUGAGGUCACGAUCUGGCAGCAAUGGAACAAUGGGCACAGCCUCAAAUCAAAGUGGGGUCCAGCAGUGCCAAACAGCUCUCCAGGCCUCAGCCCAGGGCAGACUUAUCUUUUUGGUGUUUGUUUGUUUGUUUGUUUGUUUUGCUUUUCAGUACCUCACUUGCAGCAUAUGAAGGUUCCCAGGCUAGGAGUCCAAUUGGAGCUGCAGCUGCCGACCUAUACCACAGCCAUAGCAACGCAGAAUCCAAGCCACAUCUAUGACCUACAGCUCAUAGCAAUGCCGGAUCCUUAACCCAAUGAGCAAGGCCAGGGAUCUAACUUUGCAUCCUCAUGGAUACUGGUCGGGUUCGUUACCUCUGAGCCACAACAGGAACUCCUGAGGCUCAUCUUAAACCAUGCUGUUCUGCACCCCAACAUCUAUUCUUCUUCUGGAAUCUCCUCCCCUCGGGGCUUAUCUCCUCCCCUAGCUAUUCUAUCCACAUAAUCCACAGCUAAUCCCCUCAUCUUUGCUCUUCAGAAAUGGUUCUUCCCAGUUGCCCUUAGGUUCCCCACCUCAGGCACUCUCUCUGCCUCGGUUCUUCUUACACCUCCUCAAAACUGCACACCCAGACUUGGCUGACGUGGGGGGAGAAAACUUGUGUCUGCACAUCAUGUCAGAGAAAGACAAGUACAUAGCUAACGAGAAAACAAGGCAGGUGAAAGUACUUGCAGGCAUUGUGGUCUGAGCUAGUUAUCAUGGGAAUGUCCAAAGAAACACAGUUAAGUGCUCACUGCAGAGGACAGAUUCCCUUUUGGGCACCAUCUACCAUGUGACACAAAUCGGUCCCAAGAUAGUCUUCAUGCAGUUUUUCUACAGGAAGUUUUAUCAAAAACUGUUUCAAGUUUUUGCCUUUUCAAAACUAGUUUCAAUCGCUGGAAGUAACUUUACAGACAUGCAUUUGAGAACUUCAUCAUUUGCAGUUGACUGAUUUUCUAGACCUUCCAAAUACUGGAUUUUACCCCUUUAAUGACCCCCUGCUCCCAAUAUAAACUUUCAUCAAUGCCAGGAGAUUGGAUGAAAUAACCCUGAAACCAGCCAUCAGACUAAGGAAGGCUACAAGGUACACCUCUAACCUUUAGUAACGGCCUAUGCUGAUGAGAAGGCCCAGAUGUUCCUUACAAUCUAUUUGUAGAGACCUCAAAGAAUUGCCAGCUACCAGCCAAAAAAAAAAAAAAAAGUCUGGUACAAAUAAAGUCAGACUAGAUGCAUCUAAUGAGGCACAUAAUACUUCAAUGCUGAAUGUAAAGACUAACCAAAUUUUCUAAGUUACAUGCCAGGAGGUUCUUUAUAAAUCAUAGGAGGAAAAGUGUUUUUAACCUUAAAUGAUCCCAUAUUAUUAACUGCUGCCAUCCAAGCAAGUCCUUUGAAUUGAGAAGCCAAAUUGAGCCGGCUGGGUCCUAGUGAUAAUUACCAUUUAAAUACAACAGAACAAAAGCCUCUAUGUUGACAAGAACAACAUCAAAGAGGAACACAACCAUCUAGAAUGUCUCCAUUACGUAUCACUUUGAAAGCACAAUUUGAAACCCACAAUUUACUGAGCAUUUUUCAUUUCACUUUCUCUUUCCAGAACAGCCAACACAACAGUUAAACCAGUUAGUGAAAACAUAUGCAGAUAAUAGCAUGAACUGUUUAUAAGACGAAGAUUUAAAGAUCAUCUCAUUCAAUCCUCUUCUUUUGAAAGGUGAGAAAAUGAAACCUAGAAAGGGUGAGUCACACAAGACCACACAAGAUAUUAGACACAAAAUUCUUCUAUUUAUACCUAUGCUCCAUGACGUAGGCCAUUUUUCAAAUACAAUAGAGUAAGUUAUUUUGUCAAUCUAUCCAAGCACCACACUACCUUCAAAAUAAUAU